This 1323-nucleotide ribosomal RNA is filed under the name metagenome. RNAcentral describes it as "bacterial LSU rRNA". It matches the Rfam family "Bacterial large subunit ribosomal RNA", at positions 1579 to 2925 of the family's 2925-position model. The record is from RNAcentral.
AAAAGUAGUGAAGCGUGUGAGCCAUGUGCCGAGAAAAGCUGCUAUUGUGUAAUGCGUGCCCGUACCGUAAACCGACACAGGUGGAUGAGGAGAGAAUCCUAAGGCCGGCGGAAGAAGCAUUGUUAAGGAAUUCGGCAAAAUGACCCCGUAACUUCGGGAGAAGGGGUGCCUGCGAGAGCAGGCCGCAGAGAAUAGGCUCAAGCAACUGUUUAGCAAAAACACAGGUCUAUGCGAAACCGAAAGGUGAAGUAUAUGGGCUGACGCCUGCCCGGUGCUGGAAGGUUAAGAGGAGAGGUUAGCUUCGGCGAAGCUUUGAAUUUAAGCCCCAGUAAACGGCGGCCGUAACAAUAACGGUCCUAAGGUAGCGAAAUUCCUUGUCGGGUAAGUUCCGACCCGCACGAAAGGCGUAAUGAUUUGAGCACUGUCUCGACAAUGCAUCCGGUGAAAUUGAAGUACCAGUGAAGAUGCUGGUUACCCGCGCCAGGACGGAAAGACCCCAUGGAGCUUUACUCCAGUUUGAUACUGGGAUUCGGUACUGCAUGUACAGGAUAGGUGGGAGACGAAGAAGGAUGGACGCCAGUCUGUCCGGAGUCGCUGUUGGGAUACCACCCCUGUAGUACUGGGUUUCUAACCAGUUGCCAUGAACUGGCAAUGGGACAAUGUCAGGCGGGGAGUUUGACUGGGGCGGUCGCCUCCGAAAGGGUAUCGGAGGCGCUCAAAGGUUCCCUCAGAAUGGUUGGAAACCAUUUGAAGAGUGCAAAGGCAGAAGGGAGCUUGACUGCGACACCGACGGGUGGAGCAGGUACGAAAGUAGGACUUAGUGAUCCGGUGGUAUAAAGUGGGAUUGCCAUCGCUCAACGGAUAAAAGCUACCCUGGGAUAACAUGCUUAUCACUCCCAAGAGUUCACAUCGACGGAGUGGUUUGGCACCUCGAUGUCGGCUCAUCGCAUCCUGGGGCUGUAGCAGGUCCCAAGGGUUGGGCUGUUCGCCCAUUAAAGCGGUACGCGAGCUGGGUUCAGAACGUCGUGAGACAGUUCGGUCCCUAUCCGGCGCGGGCGGAGGAUAUUUGAGAGGAGCUGUCCUUAGUACGAGAGGACCGGGAUGGACGGACCACUGGUGUAUCUGUUGUCGACCAACGGCAUGGCAGAGUAGCCAAGUCUGGAAGGGAUAAACGCUGAAGGCAUCUAAGCGUGAAGCCCCCCUCAAGAUGAGAUAUCCCUCCUUCGGGAGUAAGACCCCUUGAAGACUACAAGGUAGAUAGGGCAGAGGUGGAAGCAUGGCAACAUGUGGAGCUGACUGUUACUAAUAGGUCGAGGGCUUAAU